GUGUGUGUGUGUGUGUGUGCGUACGCCCAGGAGCAAGAACAAGUGGUUCCAAACCCUAGUUCAACAAAUCGAUCAAAUUGAAGCACAAAUCAAGAGCCAAAUCAAUGCAUGAACACAAAUUAGUGAUCACCUCAGUGAAAUGAUCAUAAGUUUGACGCCUAACGAGCUAGGUGGAGGCUUGGGAAAGGAAGCGGGUCAAACAAAUCAAGAAUGGAGGAAAAACACAAUUCGGAUGCAAGGUAAGUAAAGCUUACAUUCUAGUUAUUUGAUACCUAUUGGUUUGAUAGGUCGUGAAUAAUAAGUCUUGUUUUAAAUUAUGAUGUUCCGACACGGCAAGUGCGGUCCGGAACAAAAGACAAUGGUCAUAAAUCAUGUUUAAUGGAUAAAAAGGAGCUAAUGCGGUUAAUUAGUCAUGAAAUGACUAAAAGAUAAUGAGUUUUUAAAUGGUUACCUUAUAAGGUAAACCAUUGCAAAUAAUAAGGGUAAAAUGGUACUUUGGUCAUUUGUGGACAACAACCGUUUAAUUGGGGAAAGACACAUUAUAGCUUGGGUCAUAAUGGGUCAAAGAAAUCAAUAAAUGAUUUACAAGUAGAACGACUAUACGGUGUAAACCGAAGUUAGUCAUAUAGAUAAGAUGGUAAUAAAUGCCACCUCAUAGAGUUUCAUGGUCCUUUAGACCAAACGUGUCAAAAUGUGAAAUUAUCACCCUUUGACAAUAUUGACUAAUAGUUGUUGAGCUAUGUGAUUAUAGAAAUAAAUAUCGGAUGGAUAUGUACAUCGUUAUCGCUUAGCGGCUACUAAGGCAAGGUAUCGAAACGAAUCAAUAUAUUGAUUCGAGCCAGGUAUGUAUAAUUGGUCAAAUCAUCUUUAGAACUUGAAGUUCAAUGAGGGCUAAACAAGUUAAAAUGGACAUUGGGUUAUCUUUUAAGUAAACCGAAUGAUUUAAAUUAUUGUCAUUGUGUUUUAAGAACAUGAUGUCUAUUUAAACAAGAUCCUAGUUCAAACAGUGGAAUUUUGGUCAAUUUCGACAUGAAAAGUCCUUGUUGUAAAGAAAGGGUUUAAGAUGACUAAAACGCCCUCGUAAGCAAAAUCGAGUAAAUGAACUUUAAGAGUCGUUUAAAAACAAGUUAUAUGAUCAAGUAAAUACUUUGAAUAAGUAUAGAGAAUGAAAAGGGUAAAUCUUGGGUCAAAAGACUCAAUAUGAGUCUUUGUCGUAAAUUAGCAAUCCGACGAGAAAAACUCGGAUUAUAUAGAUCAUCUCAUUGAGCUCACCACAAAUUUAGUUGUGGUUGAAGAUCUCAUAAUAAGUGAUGUGGUGUAAUAACGCUAGAAACGAAUGAAAGCGUUUCAUCCUCAAAAUAUGCCUAAAUACCCUUAACGGGUCAAAUUACGCAUAUGAGCGUAAACGGGUUUAAGAUACGUAAGAAACCCGUGACUUGAACCUAAUAUGAUAGGAAUUAUUGAAAUUAUGAUUACCGUGAGAAUAAGGAUCAAACAAACAUGUUUCGUUUGAUAAAAACAUGAACGGGUCAAAACUACGGCAAAUUGGAAAAAUUAGAUGCAGGGUCCACCGUAAAUUACGGUGACACCGUAAUUUACGGUGGAGCUGAUAUGGUUACGGUGGUAACCUACUGUUGUACGGUAGAGGGAUAUGAAUACAGGAGCCACCGUAAAUUACAGUGACACCGUAAUUUACGGUGGAGAUGAUUUUCAAGUUCUUGUUUUCUUUUGAUAAUCAAUUGUUUCCCGGACUCGUUUGGACAUGAUUUAAACCCCGUAAGACUAAAGCAUUUCAUGUUUAUGAAAUGUAGGUACACUAUGGGAUGCCGGAAGACGAUCAAGCUCAACGAAGAACCGAACACGAUAAAGAUACACGCUUCCGCACUUUGUAACGUUGUAAAUUUUAAAACAACGAUUUCGAUUACGUUUUGUAGAAUAACUUAUGAAUUGUAAAACUUUUAGUAAACCCGUAUUUUUAUAGCAUGUGUAGUCUUAGCUACACAUCUAAUUGUUGGUAAUUAC
Molecule: long non-coding RNA, 2022 nt
Filed under: Helianthus annuus (common sunflower)
Lineage: Eukaryota; Viridiplantae; Streptophyta; Magnoliopsida; Asterales; Asteraceae
Description: hypothetical non coding rna
Source: RNAcentral